AUUGUCGCUGGCUCCCCUGAGCAUGUGCACAUCGAACAAUGUAUAUAACACACCCUGUGCACCUGUUGUAGGUUCUCGAGAGAGGAUCUACGUUUUUUUGUAACCACACUCGUCGUAUGUCUGUCUAUAAUUAUAUAAUAUACAACUUUCAGCAAUGGAUCUCUUGGCUCUCGCAUCGAUGACGAACGCAGCGAAUUGCGAUAAGGAAUGUGAAUUGCAGAUUUUCAGUGAAUCAUCGAAUCUUUGAACGCACCUUGCGCCCCUUGGUAUUCCGAGGAGCAUGCCUGUUUGAGUGUCAUUUAAUUCUCAACCGAUCCUUGGAUCGGCUUGGACUUGGGAGCUUGUUGGGUCCGCUCGGCUCUCCUGAAAUGCAUUGCAUUAAGCUAACGUGCACGGCCUCUGACGUGAUAAUGAUCGUCGUAGCUGGAGCGUGGCUUGAUCAUCAGAUCGGCUUUACCUACUAGUUUGUUUGUAACCCGAACGAACGAACGAACGCGAGUCUAACCUAAUGACAUGACCUCAAAUCAGGUAGGACUACCCGCUGAACUUAAGCAUAUCAAUA
This 562-nucleotide ribosomal RNA is filed under the name Retiboletus pseudogriseus. RNAcentral describes it as "eukaryotic LSU rRNA". The stretch from base 144 to 298 matches the Rfam family "5.8S ribosomal RNA". Lineage: Eukaryota; Fungi; Basidiomycota; Agaricomycetes; Boletales; Boletaceae. The record is from RNAcentral.